RNAcentral lists this ribosomal RNA (498 nucleotides) under uncultured bacterium. RNAcentral's name for it is "partial 16S ribosomal RNA". It matches the Rfam family "Bacterial small subunit ribosomal RNA", at positions 28 to 507 of the family's 1533-position model. The record is from RNAcentral.
GAUGAACGCUGGCGGCGUGCCUAAUACAUGCGAGUCGAGCGAACAGACGAGGAGCUUGCUCCUCUGACGUUAGCGGCGGACGGGUGAGUAACACGUGGAUAACCUACCUAUAAGACUGGGAUAACUUCGGGAAACCGGAGCUAAUACCGGAUAAUAUAUUGAACCGCAUGGUUCAAUAGUGAAAGACGGUUUUGCUGUCACUUAUAGAUGGAUCCGCGCCGCAUUAGCUAGUUGGUAAGGUAACGGCUUACCAAGGCAACGAUGCGUAGCCGACCUGAGAGGGUGAUCGGCCACACUGGAAAUGAGACACGGUCCAGACGUCUACGGGAGGCAGCAGGAAGGGAAUCUUCCGCAAUGGGCGAAAGCUUGACGGAGCAACGCCGCGUGAGUGAUGAAGGUCUUCGGAUCGUAAAACUCUGUUAUUAGGGAAGAACAAAUGUGUAAGUAACUAUGCACGUCUUGACGGUACCUAAUCAGAAAGCCACGGCUAACUACGUG